CUAACCGUACCCUUAACCCCCGGUUACCCACGGGACCCGUACCGACCCGUUUCCCAGGGACGUCCGACUUCCCGGGAAUCCCACGCACGGGAAUGAGUCAGGAUCGGGGAGAACAGGGAAGGAACUCAGCGUUCCCGACAUUCCCGAUGUUCCCGAGCCGGGAUGGGAUCGGAUCCAACCAUCUGGGAAGAGAAAGCUCUCCAGAUGUCCUGGAAUUUCGGGAUGGAAGCUUCCAGGAGGAUCCUCAAUCCCACUUUUUUUUCUUUGGCUGUUGGGGUCGUGGUUCCCAGCUGAUCCCAGCCUCGUCAUUCCCAGCCCUGCAGCCCAUCCCAGGAAUUCCAUGGGAUCCCAGGCAUUCCCACAGGGAGAAUUCCCAAGUUUCAGGGGGAUGUUUCCCAAUUUUCCAAAUGAUUCCCUCUAAUCCCCAUCCCGAUGGACAUUUUGGCCAUUCCAGCUGCUCCAGCUGGGAGCGCUCCCAAAAAAAGGAAUCCCAAAGCAUCCCCAGGCUUUGGAAAAAUCCCAAAUCCCAAAUCCCGGUGGGAAUCAGAUCCCCGCGGGAAGCGCUUCCAGACAGCGUUUCCCAGGAAGCCGGGAUGGAAAAGUGGGAAAAGCAGGAAAACUCCGGGAUCCCCCCUCACCUGAGCGGCGGAGCUUUGGGAAUUCCGGCCGCGGAUUCCCGGGAAUCCUUCCCGCUCCCGGUGCAGGGGGGGGAUCCUCCCCCACCCCCCCCCACCCCAGCCCCCGGGAUCCCGGGAAAAGCCGGAGCCGCUCCCGGAGCGCGGAAGGAGCCGGGGCAGGAAGGGGGAAGGAGCGGGAGAGGCGGUCCCGGGGAGCCGCCACUCCCCCGGGAAGCGGCGGCACCUUCCCGGUGCCGGGAUCCCCGGGAAUCCUUGGAAUUCCGCCCGCAGGAUGAUCCCGCAGAGCCGCUUAAAAGUAUGGGAAUGCCGGGAGGAAAAACGGGAAGAUCCCACAGCUGAGAUCCCGGGAUCGGCUGGGAAUUCCCAAUGGGAAUGGGGGAGUGAAGGGGGGGGUGAGCGCCUCCCGAAAUUCCAGGUGGGAAUUCCUGUGGAGCUGCAGCCCCUGCUGGGAUUCUUCUCCCAGACCCUUUCCUGGACCAGAGGAUCCUUCCCACUCCUGGGAUCUUCGGGAUUCUGGGAAUUCUGCCCCGAGGAUCCUUCACUGAGGAGGAAUCCCGAUCCUGAUCCUGAUCCCGAUCCUGAUCCCAGAGUGGUUCAAAAUGAUGGGAAUUCCAGGAGGAAAAGGGAAGUAUUCCAGCUGGGAAUUCCCAGGGGGAAAAGGGAAGUAAAGGGGGAUGAGCUCUUCCUGAAAUUCCAGGUGGGAAUUCCUGCAGCCCCUUUCCUGGCCCAGAGGAUCCUUCCCACUCCUGGGAUCUUUGGGAACCUGGGAAUUCUGCCCCAAAGAUCCUUCACUAUGGUGGAAUCCCAAUCAUGAUCCUGAUCCUGAUCCUGAUCCCGAUCCUGAUCCUAAUCCCAAUCCCGAUCCCAGAGUGGUUUAAAUUUAUGGGAAUUGCAGGAGGAAAAGCGGGAAGGGGAGGGGAGCAGUGGGGUGCCCCUGAUCCCACAGUUUGGGGGUAGCUGUGAUCCCAGGAUGAGCUGGGAAUUCCCAGCAGGAAUGGGGAAGUGAAGGGGGUGAGCACUUCCCAGAACUCCAGGUGGGAAUUCCUGUGGAGCUGCAGCCCAUGAUGGUGUUCAAAGGCACCUGGCUCAUUCCCAAUCCCAAUCCCAAUCCCAUUCAAAAUUACCUUCUCAUUCCCAUUCCCAUUCCAUCCUCUUCUCAUUCCCAUUUCCAUCUCCUUCCCAAUCCCAUUAUCAAUCCCAAUCCGAAUCCCAUUCCCAAUCCCAAUCCCAAUCCCAAUCCCAAUCUCAACCCCAAUCCCAAUCCCAACCCCAUUCCCAUUCCCAUUCCAAUCCCAAUCCCUAUUCCCAUCCCAAUCCCAAUCCCAAUCCAAAUCCCAUC
Molecule: long non-coding RNA, 1977 nt
Organism: Serinus canaria (Common canary)
Lineage: Eukaryota; Metazoa; Chordata; Aves; Passeriformes; Fringillidae
Source: Ensembl